GGAACUAGGAAUUCAAAAUUCAUCUACAAGAAUAAGGUACAACAAAAAAGCAAAAAAGGUCAGAUUAUAAUGAUUCGUACAUGUUAAUACAAAACACAUUUUGACAAAUUAAAUUGACCUAUCGAGAUUUUAUUAUCUGUCGAGAAUAACUGAAAAAUAACGAUCGAGAACGAAGUUCAUCUCGACAAAUGAGUCACAUGAUUGAUCUGUCGAGAAUUAGUCAUCUAUCGAGAACUCAUAACUGUUAAGACUUUCAUUUUGACAAAUUAAACAGUUCACUUAAACUAUAGUAAUGUUUAUUUAUGUUAUGUAUUAAGUAUUGGUAAUUAAAAGUGCCUAUUUUCACAUAGUAAAGAAACGAAAAAGUCCAAUUUCUCGGCUUCUAUAAUAAGAGAGAUAAAUAAACACACAUGCACAUACAAAGCACAAAGAUAUGAAACCAUAACCUUGUUGACAUUAAAGCAAUUAACUUUUGGUAAGAAAAUAAGAAAAGGCAAAGGAUUAAAAAAAAAAAAAAUGUGUUGCAGACAUAUAGCUUACAAUUUGAUGUGUAAGAGGUUCUCAAAAGUUGUAAAUGUAUUCCCUCAACAAAUCAGAUGCCAAACCCUGCAAACAACAAAAUAAUAGUUAGCUUAACAUGUAAAGUAGAAAAGCCAAUAUUUUCAUACCAUCAAAGAGAAUUUUGUAAAAGAUAUUUGAGGUUGAACAUGACUAGCUAUCCACUAAGCUGAUAUAGAGCAUUUGCGUGGAUUGUAAAUUAUUAUGAUAAGCACC
RNAcentral lists this long non-coding RNA (774 nucleotides) under Olea europaea (common olive). Its description in RNAcentral is "long non-coding RNA (OEUR_LNC010522)". The record is from RNAcentral. Lineage: Eukaryota; Viridiplantae; Streptophyta; Magnoliopsida; Lamiales; Oleaceae.